This 429-nucleotide ribosomal RNA is filed under the name uncultured bacterium. RNAcentral describes it as "bacterial SSU rRNA". It matches the Rfam family "Bacterial small subunit ribosomal RNA", at positions 355 to 776 of the family's 1533-position model. The record is from RNAcentral.
UGGGGAAUUUUGGACAAUGGGGGCAACCCUGAUCCAGCAAUGCCGCGUGUGUGAAGAAGGCCUUCGGGUUGUAAAGCACUUUUGGCGGGAACGAAACAGCUUGUGCUAAUACCACGAGCGACUGACGGUACCCGCAGAAUAAGCACCGGCUAACUACGUGCCAGCAGCCGCGGUAAUACGUAGGGUGCAAGCGUUAAUCGGAAUUACUGGGCGUAAAGCGUGCGCAGGCGGUUUUGUAAGACGGAUGUGAAAUCCCCGGGCUCAACCUGGGAACUGCAUUCGUGACUGCAAGGCUAGAGUGCGUCAGAGGGAGGUGGAAUUCCGCGUGUAGCAGUGAAAUGCGUAGAUAUGCGGAGGAACAUCGAUGGCGAAGGCAGCCUCCUGGGAUGACACUGACGCUCAUGCACGAAAGCGUGGGGAGCAAACAGG